AACAUGAUUAGGACUCCUCUGUAUGGCAAAUAUAAGUAUGAAAAUGAGUUGCCAUAAAUAUUAUCACAUGCCAUACGUUGUCUUUUGUAUUUGUAUUUACACUCAUCACUCAUCAGUUGCAUGAAUUUCGGUAAUCACGACUUUGGAGUUAUUGUAGGGCUGAAUUUUUCUGACGCUCGGUGAGAGUUUUGGAGUUAAAUUAAGAUCCCGCUGAGAAUAUAAGCUUUGCACUGAUUGGUCGUUCAAGGCUCUGGACCAAUCAGGGACGAAGAUAUUACAACGCAAACAAAGGAAGAGGAAUGUCAACAAAGUGUGACGCAGUAAACCCGAGCGAAGAAGCCGCGUGCUGAGUAAAUGCGUGUGUUUUGUUUCAUAACAGGAAAAAACAACUUUACGCAGUGACGACAAAUCAGAAGCAGCAAACAAAGGAGGAAACAAGAUGUAUGAAUGACAAGGUUUUGGCACAGCUGGAUAGUGAAAGUCUGAUUAUAAGGAACCAGAUCCACUCCAGCUUCUCAUACAGAGCUCCUGCAGUAGGAGGAUGAAGACUCCAUGAGGUUUGCCAUGAGUAUAAAAGAUGAAGAAUCAAUUCCUUCUGACUAUAUUUCUGGGUCCAUAGUCUCUCUCUCUCUCUCUCUCUCUCUCUCUCUCUCUCUCUCUCUCUCUCUCUCUCUCUAUCACUCACAGUCAGCCAGUAAAUCCUAAAUCCUUCUGCCAGUUUUAUUAUACAAAGUCUUCAGCAAUGACUAAAGCAGUGCCCGUGUAAACAAAUGUCUUGCCUUUCUUUCUUUCUUUUUUUUUUUUUAACUCAUCAUUAAAAACACAUUUUGGUACCUUCGCAAACCUGCAUAUUCGUGAUCCUUAGUCAUACAGAUGCAGAAAAUAUGAUGAGAAAAGAAUGACAGAAUGCUCAAAAUCACAACAGCAGAAAACUGUGCCUGUUAGCAUCUAAAGCAAGAAAUGGAUCAAAACUGUAUAUGAAAGUAACAGCAUCAGAUUUGGCUGGUGAAUAUAAAUGACGAUUCUUUGCUUUUUUUAAACAAAAAUACCAUUAAAACUAAUAAUGCCAGAUGACUGGAUGAGGUAUUACUAGGUGAAGUAUAUAAGGUAAUAAAAUGUAAAGAGUUAAAUAAGAAAACCCAUUAACUGUUUGUCUACAAAGUGGCUGGACAAGGAGGUGACUUUCUUCUAUGCAGUGCAAAAACUCUAUACAGGAGAUACCGAGUGCCUCAUACAGAAACUCUUCAGGUAGAAUCCAGUGCCUGAACUUGCAGGAAUUUCACAAUAUUGUGUCUAGUUGCCAAGCUAGCACAAAAAACUAGUGCAUGCCCAUCUACUUUUCAACAGAUGCAGAAACAGGUGGCAAGUAUGUGUGCUGUGGUGUGAGUUUAAAAAUGGCUGAAUAGUGCAUUGCACACGGAUGCUUGAUGCUGGAGCAGUAGCUUUAGGCUCUUUCAUUAAUUUGGACAUUAAACAAAUCUGAAGUUGAGUGUAAUUUAAAUGUAGACAUUACAAUGGAACACUAAUACCAAACAACUCCAGGGUCCUAGUGUUGGUCCUCAGGUUGGGUUAUUGUCUGUAAAUAAUUGUGCAUGUUAUCCCUGUUUCCACCAGGUUUCAUGGCAUUCUCUCACCUGCAAAAAUCUUAAAAACAGGUUGACUGGCCGGCCUAAAUACCCCUAGAUGUAAGUCAGGAAGUUAAUGUGUGUGUACUGUGUUCUCAAGAUAUGUUUUAGAGCUGUUGAGACCCUUACAGUGGUUACUGAAGGUAAUUGAUGCAACUGAAGUGUGACAUGAACAAAAAAUAAAAGGUUUUUGCCUCUUGAUUUUUAAAAUCCCCUAAAUCUUGAAAUGUUUCAGUUUUACAUCAUGAAAUUAAUGGGUUUUUUUGUUUGUUUUUUAAUCGCUUUUGUCCCCUUUUCAAAAAUUGGUUCAGAUCUGAAAACAAAGACCAAAUUACCAAAUGGAGUUUGGGGUUUGAGCAAAUCUAUUCCGGUUUAAUGGCAAUUUAAUGGUGGAUGUGUGAAAUUAUUUACAUGUAUAAAUAAAAAUUGCGGCUGAAAAAAAAAAAAAACCUGUAUACACGAUACAACUAUUUUCCAAGUUACUGCAAAAUACUGUAUGGGUAAAAAGCUACAAAAGCUUACUAUGCCCUCAAAAAUAGGUUUGUGUACAUUUCCUUGUCACUAAGGGGUAUAUUGAAAGGCAUAUCAUUCAUGUCUGUAAUAUGUAUCUUUAUCUCCAAAGGAUUUAACAGCCCCCCAAAAAAGCUUUUUUUUUUGCUAUGCAUGAUUCAUUCCCCACUCUCUCCAAUUUUAUAUUGAAUCACUAUUUGUGGUGAUGUUUCUGUGGUGUGAUCUUUUAUAAAGGCUUUGACAUUAAGCUGUACAAAAACAUUCCCCAGCCAGAAGUACAAUUUAUAAAAGUCUCCCGGGUCACUCUCACAUGUGAUUAGAACUGGUGAUAAUGCCUGGUGGAUCUUAACAGCAGUUUGAAGAGACCUGGAUUGAUAACCUGUGGAUUUAUUACUUUUAACUUCUCACCUAGUGUUGAGAAUGUUGGUAAUAAAUGAUUUGAUUAUACAGUAUACAUUUUGAUGGUGCAUGUACAGGAUCCAAGGAAACAUCCAGCUGAGAGUAGUAUGUAUGUGUGCAAUGUAUAAGAAUUGACACACUGUAAACCUCACACCCAAACCUCCUGACUCUUCUCUGUGCUUAAGAAAUUAUUUACAAUGCUAGGCUGCUGAGGUCAGUGCAUGCCUGUAUCAUUUUACACAGAUAUCAUGAGAGGAUGGUAGGUAUGUGCAUGAAGACCAGGGCAGGAGUGAAGACCGAGUGCAAGUACAAUGUGUUCAUUUAUUUUUGAUAUUUUGACUUUUUGUGUUCAUUUUUUUUCUUCUUCUUACAUUUAAAAGAUUUAGAUAAAAAAACAUUUCCUCUACUGUUUAAAGCUAAAUGGUUGAAUUGUAACAUUUCUACCUUAUACAUCUGUCUAUAUUUUGUAAUUUUAUGUCCUUCAAAAUAGCGAUUUAGUGACGACCGUAUAAAAUUGCUUCUUGCAUUAGAUAUGCGACUCAUUGUUUACAUUUUAUGCCAGUCAUCAGCACCUACAAUAAACCUAAUGUGCUAAAAUCUGCAAUCAAUAAAAACUAAUAAUAUAUAAAAUAUGAAUAAAACUACUGAAAUAAUAUUAUAUAAAAUUACAACUUGCAAUAAAAUGUGAGCUUUGGGCAUACACUGAGCUUGGCAGCUUAGUGUUGUAAAUUACACUCUCUCCAUAUGUCUACCUGACUUCUAUCUGAAAUCUCCAGGGUUUUAUUUUGUAGGAAAUGUCUGAAGAACAUUUCUGGAGGUAACUUGGCUAUGAGUAUGUGAGUGAAUGUGCAGGAUGUUGUUUAAACCAGCAUCCUAACCUCAUUUGGGUUAUUCUGUAAAAAAGAUCUGAAUCUAUUGAGACUCUGACCAGGAUUAAAUGUUUGCUGAAUGUGAAUAAAUCUUUUUUGUACAUAUAAUGAGUAAGAAUAAUAUAGGUAUUGGAUAACAUAUACUUUAUUUAGUCUUUACUUACUAAAUUUAUAUCAUAAGAUUGAGAAUAUAUUAGAAUAUAAAAAAUUAAGCAUCUGAUCUCAUGGAGAUCUCAGUAGAUUGAAGUCAGAACUCAUAUUUCCCAGUGUAGAGGACAUAAACAUCAAUAUAAACAUUUUUUUUAAUUAAAAGAUGUUACCAUGUUGCCUA
Molecule: long non-coding RNA, 3734 nt
Organism: Silurus meridionalis
Lineage: Eukaryota; Metazoa; Chordata; Actinopteri; Siluriformes; Siluridae
Exons: 2
Source: RefSeq, a predicted model, not a curated record